RNAcentral lists this long non-coding RNA (918 nucleotides) under Taeniopygia guttata (zebra finch). Its description in RNAcentral is "lncRNA (ENSTGUG00000028664.1)". Lineage: Eukaryota; Metazoa; Chordata; Aves; Passeriformes; Estrildidae. The record is from RNAcentral.
AGCCUGAUGAGAGAGGAUGGGGAGAAGGAGCAGAACUCCAUCAACAAACCUCACAUCUGGAGGCACAGCAUGGCCCGGGAGCAUGAAUCUGCUCCUACCCUUCAGCAUGGGCAGAAAUUCAGGCAAUAAAGAGAAUAAUGAGGUCAUUUUGACCCUCCAAAAAGCUUUGGGAAACCUACUGUGCCACCAGCUGCUGUGUCUCUCUUUGGUUCUGUUCUCUCUUAGUUCAUACCAAAUGCUGUUGCAGGUGAUGUUCACGAGGCAGUGAACAGCCACCAGUGAUAAAUAUAAUUUUAUCUGUCAUAAUGAGGCUUGAACCAGUUGGCUCACAUUUGGUGCAAGACCAUUUGUGUCAGAAAUGGUCUCCUUUAAUUUUGAGAAGACUUGGUGAUGUUUUUCCUGCUGGUGCAGGAAACUUGUGUUAUACCUGACUCAUGCUGACGUUCCUCUUAACAACAGUUGCAUUUUCUGUAAUGUGUUGUGAAUAUGAACUCAUAAAAAAGUUCACUUGACUUCGUUCUUCAAUUGUGUGACCCAUGUUGAUUCUCAGAUGCUACAAAUACCUACUCUUGAGCUUGACUACAAUCAGCCUGGCUUGAUUUUAAAACUGACAAGGUGGAAAGGUUACAUGAGCCAAAAAGACCAAGCUUCUCAUCAUGUUUUACCAAUAAAUCAGAAAGAAACAUUGAGACAAGCCCCUUUUUCUCUCCAUUUCUCAGUCACAGUAAGGGGAACAACAUCAGCUCUGCUUUAUAAAGGGUCCUGAAUUUCUUGGUUGGGAGAGGUUGCAGAAGUACAGGCAGUCACUACUGCAGACUGAAGCUCGUAAAAGGUGUUCUGGGUUUGGAGAACAUUCACAUCUAGUCUCCCUUUUAAAUAAAGAGGCUCACAUGAUUAUCUCUGUAAUGAACUGGGACC